UACGUAGGGGGCUAGCGUUGUCCGGAUUUAUUGGGCGUAAAGAGCGUGUAGGCGGCCAGAUAGGUCUGCUGUGAAAACUCGAGGCUCAACCUCGAGAUGUCGGCGGAAACCAUUUGGCUAGAGUCCGGAAGAGGAAAGUGGAAUUCCUGGUGUAGCGGUGAAAUGCGCAGAUAUCAGGAGGAACACCCGUAGCGAAGGCGGCACUCUGGGCCGAUACUGACACUGAGGAGCGAAAGCGUGGGGAGCGAACAGG
Molecule: ribosomal RNA, 253 nt
Filed under: uncultured bacterium
Lineage: Bacteria
Description: partial 16S ribosomal RNA
Rfam family: Bacterial small subunit ribosomal RNA
Source: RNAcentral